RNAcentral lists this ribosomal RNA (400 nucleotides) under uncultured bacterium. RNAcentral's name for it is "bacterial SSU rRNA". It matches the Rfam family "Bacterial small subunit ribosomal RNA", at positions 356 to 773 of the family's 1533-position model. The record is from RNAcentral.
GGGGAAUAUUGGACAAUGGGCGAAAGCCUGAUCCAGCAAUGCCGCGUGAGUGAUGAAGGCCUUAGGGUUGUAAAGCUCUUUUACCCGGGAUGAUAAUGACAGUACCGGGAGAAUAAGCUCCGGCUAACUCCGUGCCAGCAGCCGCGGUAAUACGGAGGGAGCUAGCGUUAUUCGGAAUUACUGGGCGUAAAGCGCACGUAGGCGGCUUUGUAAGUAAGAGGUGAAAGCCUGGUGCUCAACACCAGAACUGCCUUUUAGACUGCAUCGCUUGAAUCCAGGAGAGGUGAGUGGAAUUCCGAGUGUAGAGGUGAAAUUCGUAGAUAUUCGGAAGAACACCAGUGGCGAAGGCGGCUCACUGGACUGGUAUUGACGCUGAGGUGCGAAAGCGUGGGGAGCAAAC